Molecule: ribosomal RNA, 506 nt
Filed under: uncultured bacterium
Lineage: Bacteria
Description: partial 16S ribosomal RNA
Rfam family: Bacterial small subunit ribosomal RNA
Source: RNAcentral
AUUGAACGCUGGCGGCAGGCCUAACACAUGCAAGUCGAACGGUAACAGGAAACAGCUUGCUGUUUCGCUGACGAGUGGCGGACGGGUGAGUAAUGUCUGGGAAACUGCCUGAUGGAGGGGGAUAACUACUAGAAACGGUAGCUAGUACCGCAUAACGUCGCAAGACCAAAGAGGGGGACCUUCGGGCCUCUUGCCAUCGGAUGUGCCCAGAUGGGAUUAGCUAGUAGGUGGGGUAACGGCUCACCUAGGCGACGAUCCCUAGCUGGUCUGAGAGGAUGACCAGCCACACUGGAACUGAGACACGGUCCAGACUCAUACGGGAGGCAGCAGUGGGGAAUAUUGCACAAUGGGCGCAAGCCUGAUGCAGCCAUGCCGCGUGUAUGAAGAAGGCCUUCGGGUUGUAAAGUACUUUCAGCGGGGAGGAAGGGAGUAAAGUCAAUACCUUUGCUCAUUGACGUUACCCGCAGAAGAAGCACCGGCUAACUCCGUGCCAGCCGCCGCGGUAA